UCAUGGCCCUUACGAGUAGGGCUACACACGUGCUACAAUGGCGUAUACAAAGAGAAGCGACCUCGCGAGAGCAAGCGGACCUCAUAAAGUACGUCGUAGUCCGGAUUGGAGUCUGCAACUCGACUCCAUGAAGUCGGAAUCGCUAGUAAUCGUAGAUCAGAAUGCUACGGUGAAUACGUUCCCGGGCCUUGUACACACCGCCCGUCACACCAUGGGAGUGGGUUGCAAAAGAAGUAGGUAGCUUAACCUUCGGGAGGGCGCUUACCACUUUGUGAUUCAUGACUGGGGUGAAGUCGUAACAAGGUAACCGUAGGGGAACCUGCGGUUGGAUCACCUCCUUACCUAAAGA
RNAcentral lists this ribosomal RNA (349 nucleotides) under Staphylococcus felis. RNAcentral's name for it is "bacterial SSU rRNA". It matches the Rfam family "Bacterial small subunit ribosomal RNA", at positions 1193 to 1533 of the family's 1533-position model. The record is from RNAcentral. Lineage: Bacteria; Bacillati; Bacillota; Bacilli; Caryophanales; Staphylococcaceae.